Molecule: ribosomal RNA, 406 nt
Filed under: uncultured bacterium
Lineage: Bacteria
Description: partial 16S ribosomal RNA
Source: RNAcentral
CAUGCAUGUGAAGUUGGGGCACUCCNAAGGUGACUGGCCCGGUGACAAACCGGAGGAAGGUGGGGAUGACCGGCAAANCAGCAUGGCCCCUUAUGACCUGGGGCUGACACACGUGGCUACAAUGGGACGGGGACAAAGAGCUGCAAGACCGCGAGGUGGGAAGCUGAAUGCUGCAUGAAAACCGUUGCUGCAGUGUGCGGAUGUGGUGAGGGCUGGCAACUGCGCCUGACAUGGAAAGCUGGGAGUGCGCUGAGGAAUGCGCGGGAUGCAGCAUGGCCGCGGGAGACGGCCCGGGCGGACACACCGCCCGGCACACCACGAGAGGGGACACCCGAAGGCGGGGGGACCAGGAGCCAGCCGCGAAGGGGCAGAGGAGGGGGAAGGCGACUGGAUACCGGCGGUGGCA